ACUCAAAGGAAUUGACGGGGGCCCGCACAAGCGGUGGAGCAUGUGGAUUAAUACGUCACUAACCGUAGAACCUUACCCAGGCUUGACAUCCCGCGAAUCUUCCUGAAAGGGAGGAGUGCUCGCAAGAGAGCGCGGAGACAGGUGUUGCAUGGCUGUCGUCAGCUCGUGUCGUGAGAUGUUGGGUUAAGUCCCGCAACGAGCGCAACCCUCACCGUCUGUUGCCAGCAUUCAGUUGGGCACUCUGACGGAACUGCCCGGGUAACCGGGAGGAAGGUGGGGACGACGUCAAGUCAGCAUGGCCCUUACGCCUGGGGCUUCACACAUGCUACAAUGGACGGUACAGAGGGCGCCGAGACCGUGAGGUGGAGGAAAUCCCAAAAAGCCGUCCUCAGUUCGGAUUGCAGGCUGCAACUCGCCUGCAUGAAGUUGGAAUCGCUAGUAACCGCCGGUCAGCUAAACGGCGGUGAAUACGUUCCCGGGCCUUGUACACACCGCCCGU
This 499-nucleotide ribosomal RNA is filed under the name uncultured bacterium. RNAcentral describes it as "partial 16S ribosomal RNA". It matches the Rfam family "Bacterial small subunit ribosomal RNA", at positions 899 to 1397 of the family's 1533-position model. The record is from RNAcentral.